RNAcentral lists this ribosomal RNA (1420 nucleotides) under uncultured Lactobacillus sp. RNAcentral's name for it is "16S ribosomal RNA". It matches the Rfam family "Bacterial small subunit ribosomal RNA". The record is from RNAcentral. Lineage: Bacteria; Bacillati; Bacillota; Bacilli; Lactobacillales; Lactobacillaceae.
ACGAGUGGCGGACGGGUGAGUAACACGUGGGUAACCUGCCCUUAAGUGGGGGAUAACAUUUGGAAACAGAUGCUAAUACCGCAUAGAUCCAAGAACCGCAUGGUUCUUGGCUGAAAGAUGGCGUAAGCUAUCGCUUUUGGAUGGACCCGCGGCGUAUUAGCUAGUUGGUGAGGUAAUGGCUCACCAAGGCGAUGAUACGUAGCCGAACUGAGAGGUUGAUCGGCCACAUUGGGACUGAGACACGGCCCAAACUCCUACGGGAGGCAGCAGUAGGGAAUCUUCCACAAUGGACGCAAGUCUGAUGGAGCAACGCCGCGUGAGUGAAGAAGGCUUUCGGGUCGUAAAACUCUGUUGUUGGAGAAGAAUGGUCGGCAGAGUAACUGUUGUCGGCGUGACGGUAUCCAACCAGAAAGCCACGGCUAACUACGUGCCAGCAGCCGCGGUAAUACGUAGGUGGCAAGCGUUAUCCGGAUUUAUUGGGCGUAAAGCGAGCGCAGGCGGUUUUUUAAGUCUGAUGUGAAAGCCCUCGGCUUAACCGAGGAAGCGCAUCGGAAACUGGGAAACUUGAGUGCAGAAGAGGACAGUGGAACUCCAUGUGUAGCGGUGAAAUGCGUAGAUAUAUGGAAGAACACCAGUGGCGAAGGCGGCUGUCUGGUCUGUAACUGACGCUGAGGCUCGAAAGCAUGGGUAGCGAACAGGAUUAGAUACCCUGGUAGUCCAUGCCGUAAACGAUGAAUGCUAGGUGUUGGAGGGUUUCCGCCCUUCAGUGCCGCAGCUAACGCAUUAAGCAUUCCGCCUGGGGAGUACGACCGCAAGGUUGAAACUCAAAGGAAUUGACGGGGGCCCGCACAAGCGGUGGAGCAUGUGGUUUAAUUCGAAGCAACGCGAAGAACCUUACCAGGUCUUGACAUCUUUUGAUCACCUGAGAGAUCAGGUUUCCCCUUCGGGGGCAAAAUGACAGGUGGUGCAUGGUUGUCGUCAGCUCGUGUCGUGAGAUGUUGGGUUAAGUCCCGCAACGAGCGCAACCCUUAUGACUAGUUGCCAGCAUUUAGUUGGGCACUCUAGUAAGACUGCCGGUGACAAACCGGAGGAAGGUGGGGAUGACGUCAAAUCAUCAUGCCCCUUAUGACCUGGGCUACACACGUGCUACAAUGGAUGGUACAACGAGUUGCGAGACCGCGAGGUCAAGCUAAUCUCUUAAAGCCAUUCUCAGUUCGGACUGUAGGCUGCAACUCGCCUACACGAAGUCGGAAUCGCUAGUAAUCGCGGAUCAGCACGCCGCGGUGAAUACGUUCCCGGGCCUUGUACACACCGCCCGUCACACCAUGAGAGUUUGUAACACCCGAAGCCGGUGGCGUAACCCUUUUAGGGAGCGAGCCGUCUAAGGUGGGACAAAUGAUUAGGGUGAAGUCGUAACAAG